GAAGGCUCAGACAUUUCAGAGGAGAGGGAUGGGAGACACGUAUUCGUAUGCAAUAGAAUCCUUCCCUCACAUGGCACAAGCUUGAACAAAAUUGCAGCCCCCAUGCAAGCUGUGUUUGUGGAGGUGCUUGAGAGUAGAGAUGAAAACCUAUCGUGUGCUUUGUCUCUUUGAGAUUGACAGCUUUUUAUAGGUGUCUGAGAAAAGCAAAUGGAUGAAAAAGCAGUUCCUGGUGGCUUCUGUCAGCUAUUGACAAUACCUAGUAAUGUGCCUUUUAUGAAACAGACCUGAUGCCUCUUGUGGAUGAUAGGAAGCUCCAGUUGCAUGAAGAUACUUCUAUGGAUCAACAUGAUAAUAUUUUAAAAGUAACUCUGUCUUUCUGUAGUAGCCAGAAGCACCCAUCUUUUUCAUACCACCUCCACCCCCCAAACCAUAAGCACCAUGAGACUUGCAAUGAAAUCCUGGGAAUGGCAAGGCUAGCACCAGAGGUGACCAUCAGUUUUGGAAUUUAAAUCCAGUAACUCUGUCUAUUAAACUUGUACUGGUUACAGAAUAAAUUCUCUAAUUGAAGUGCCA
This 573-nucleotide long non-coding RNA is filed under the name Numida meleagris (helmeted guineafowl). RNAcentral's name for it is "lncRNA (ENSNMEG00000003339.1)". The record is from RNAcentral. Lineage: Eukaryota; Metazoa; Chordata; Aves; Galliformes; Numididae.